GAUGAACGCUGGCGGCGUGCCUAAUACAUGCAAGUCGAACGGAAAGAUAAUGAGCUUGUGCCGUUGCCGUUAGCGGCGGGCGGGUGGGUCACGCGUGGAUCCCCUACUUAUCUUUCGGGGAUAAUCACGGAAAACCGGCUAUAAUAGCGUAGCAUAUAUUGAACCGCGUGGUGCAAGGGAAAAUGGCGGUUUUUGUGUCUGUACUAGCGGGUUCCGCGCCGGAUGGGCGAGUUGGUAAGGUCACAGCUUACCAAGGCUACGAUGCGUAGCUGAGCUGAGAGGAUGAUCGGCCACACUGGAACUGAGACACGGUCCAGACUCCUACGGGAGGCAGCAGUAGGGAAUCUUGCGCAAUGGGCGAAAGCCUGACGGAGCAACGCCGCGUGAGUGAGGAAGGUCUUCGGGUCGUAAAACUCUGUUAUUGGGGAAGAAAAAAUGUGUAAGUAACUCUGCACGUCUUGACGGUACCUAAUCAGAAAGCCACGGCUAACUUCGUG
Molecule: ribosomal RNA, 497 nt
Filed under: uncultured bacterium
Lineage: Bacteria
Description: partial 16S ribosomal RNA
Rfam family: Bacterial small subunit ribosomal RNA
Source: RNAcentral